UACGAAGGGGGCUAGCGUUGAUCGGAAUUACUGGGCGUAAAGGGCGCGUAGGCGGUACUUCAAGUCCGGCGUGAAAGCCCCGGGCUCAACCUGGGAACCGCGCUUGAGACUGGAGAACUAGAGUUCGGGAGAGGAUGGUGGAAUUCCCAGUGUAGAGGUGAAAUUCGUAGAUAUUGGGAAGAACACCGAUGGCGAAGGCAGCCAUCUGGACCGACACUGACGCUGAGGCGCGAAAGCGUGGGGAGCAAACAGG
Molecule: ribosomal RNA, 253 nt
Filed under: uncultured bacterium
Lineage: Bacteria
Description: partial 16S ribosomal RNA
Rfam family: Bacterial small subunit ribosomal RNA
Source: RNAcentral